AUAUUAAGGAAUAAAAGGCUACGGCUAUCAAAUGACUGCAAAUAAUUUCAACAGAAUUGAGAGCAUCUGUCUUCAUAGUAACGUAGACUGUCCCAGAACAUGCCCAAGGGUAAGCAGUUUGGGGUUCUUAAGCAUCUUAUUUCGGCCUAUCAUUGGGCAUUAUUAUUCCAUUUAUGAGGUUUCUUCAUUUUUCUUUUGAGCCUGUCACAUGACAAAUUUUUGGCUUUUUUUUUUUUAUUUUUAAAGAGAAUUUGUGGUUCAAAUUAAACCCGACUACUUGGAAAUUCACUUUAUUUGAAAAAGAUUUCUCUGCCUAUUUUUUCCUACCCUGGCAUUCGUCUAGAUAGAAAGCAGUAAAGGAGCCACACAGACACUCUGAAGCACCCAGGGACCCUGCUCUGAGGAUGGCCAGCAUGGCCCCCAUCUUGGGCUGCCUGGCAAGUUUUCUUGCACUCCUGAAUUAUCUCGAAUGGAUGCACCUCAGAGCUAGCGAACUGGGAUUUUGGCUUCGUUUCCUUGGGGCAUGCCAGUGGGUCACAUUUCUUCUCUGAACCUCCCUCCAAGCUGCACUGUACUCUUGAAGGGAAAGGGACCGGGCUUCACAAGAACCAGCACAUGCUUUCCUUCCAUUUCCGGGAGUCCCGGGGUCGCUCUGCAGAUGCUGCUCCGUGCGUGGCCGAUGGCAUUCAGACUCCUGGCCGGGCAGACGAGCGGGCGGGACAGCUCGGCGGCGGGGCAGUCCCGGCCAGAGCAGCCGCCCCCCGGCC
This is a non-coding RNA of Microcebus murinus (gray mouse lemur), 767 nucleotides long. The record is from RefSeq and is a predicted model, not a curated record. Lineage: Eukaryota; Metazoa; Chordata; Mammalia; Primates; Cheirogaleidae.